Molecule: long non-coding RNA, 1098 nt
Organism: Tympanuchus pallidicinctus (lesser prairie-chicken)
Lineage: Eukaryota; Metazoa; Chordata; Aves; Galliformes; Phasianidae
Exons: 4
Source: RefSeq, a predicted model, not a curated record
CCCGAUUAACCCCUUCCCUCCCGCAGGUCUGUCACUCGCAGCCAUUACCGCGGUGCCACCGGCGCUCUGCUGGUUUACGACAUCACCAGCAGGGAGACCUGCAACGCUUUGACCCAUUGGCUGACGGACGCACAGACGCUCUCCAGCCCCAACAUCGUCAUCAUCCUCUGCGGGAACAAAAAGGACCUGGAUGGGGAGCGCGAGGUCGCCUUCCUGGAGGCAUCCGGAUUCACACGGAAUGGUGGGGGGCUGCUGUGCGUCAGAAAGUCCUUGGAGCAGCAGCUCAUGGAUGCCGUGGACAAAUCGGGCCGUGCGCUCCAUGUCCAUCUCUACUGGUGAUGUUUUUAUUGACUACAACCAAAGUUGGAGUGCCGAGUUGGGCGGCACUCGGAACGCUGCCCUGCAACGCCACGCACUGCAGCGCUGCCUGCUGAUGCUGCUCCUCUCAGUCGUUCAGCUGCAGCUUCUGCAUCAUCUCCACCAGGCUGUUCAUGGCGGAGGACUGGAAAGAAACAGAGCGAGUGUAGAAACAGGACAGUGCUUCCCUCCGGAAAUCUCUUCCGUGUCUGACAGUCGGAGGCCCUGAGAACAACAAGAGCCGUGUCUGUGCUCACCGAGGACUCACCUCUGCACGUGCAGCUGCAGCUCUCAGAGAAGCCUUUUUCAGUUCUAUUCAGUUCUACGUGGGACUCACCCAUGGGGUGAAUGGGGUUCAUUGAAUGGGGGUGAAAUGAAGGAAAGCCACAGAGAAGUGAAGAUACCCUUGUGCAGCCCAGUAAAAAGGCAGGAUGGCCUCGUAGUGGUCAGCGGGGUCCCAGGGGAACAAGUAGGAGCUGGGAGGAGUGCACAGCAAUACGGAGCAGCAAAGUGCAGCAUGGCCAAGUGACAACCAGUAAGGAGCAGCACGGCCUCAGAGCGGUCAGUGGAGCCCUGUAGGAAUCAUCAGAAAGCAACAGGAAGGCACAGCUGUGCCCAGGGCCGGUGCCGGCCUCUGCCUCUGGCUUCGGGCCCUCGGCCUGGUGCCGGCCUUUCAGGACUGGCUUUAGGCUCCACGGCCGCUGCCAGCCCGCCCGGCUGUAGGUGUGGCUGUCAGCCCCG